ACUGGCAGUAGAGGUGCGCUGGAUAAGAGUCGUGGCAAGUAGGUGAUUCCGUUUUAUGUGCCACAAAAGGAUUCAGCGCCGAAGCAGUGUGAAGUAUCAAAUCAACUGCUGGGGCUGUGGCCGAAUAGGCGCAGCACUGUCACAGAAAGAUGAUUGAGUACCGACUCAAUCCUGUGGAGCGCUACUUAAUUU
RNAcentral lists this non-coding RNA (192 nucleotides) under Shewanella sp. Its description in RNAcentral is "Lysine sequence". It matches the Rfam family "Lysine riboswitch aptamer". From Rfam's summary of the family: Riboswitches are metabolite binding domains within certain messenger RNAs that serve as precision sensors for their corresponding targets. Allosteric rearrangement of mRNA structure is mediated by ligand binding, and this results in modulation of gene expression. The record is from RNAcentral. RNAcentral also lists the same sequence under 1 other name. Lineage: Bacteria; Pseudomonadati; Pseudomonadota; Gammaproteobacteria; Alteromonadales; Shewanellaceae.